AUGAAGAUCUGCCAUCUGCCGGCAGUGAGUGGUACAACAGGCUCUCGUUGCCAGAAUUUGUCUAUCGCCUUCCGCCACAGUCACCAUUGGAGAGUAGCAGCCGUGGCUCUUCGCUAUCCUAUGGCCGUGGGCCUCAACAAGGGCCACAAGUAACCAAGAACGUGAGCAAGCCCAGGCACAGCCGCCGCCACAGGCAUCUGACCAAACACACCAAGUUCAUGCGGUACAUCAUCCGGGAGGUGUGUGGCUUUGCCCUGUACAAGCAGUGCGCCAUGGAGUUACUGAAGGUCUCCAAGGACAAACUUUUCCCUCAAGGUCAUCAGGAAAAGGGUAGGGACACACAUCCGCGCCAAGAGGAAACGGGAGGAGCUGAGCAAUGUCCUGGCCACCAUGAGGAAAGCCGCUGCCAAGAAAGACUAAGCCCCCUCCCCUGCCCUCUCCCUGAAAUAAACAGCUUGACACCCCCUUCCCCCCAAAAUAAGAAGUUCUAGCCAGAUUAAUCAGACAAGAAAAAUAAAUAAAGGGUAUUCAGUUAGGAAAGGAGGAAGUCAAACUGUCUCUAUUUGCAGAUGACAUGUUUUUUUUUUUUUUUGAGACGGAGUUUCGCUCUUGUUACCCAGGCUGGAGUGCAAUGGAGCCACUGCAACCUCUGCCUCCUGGGUUCAGGCAAUUCUCCUGCCUCAGCCUUCUGAGUAGCUGGGAUUACAGGCAUGCGCCACCACACCCAGCUAAUUUUUUGUAUUUUUAGUAGAGAUGGGGUUUCACCAUGUUGACCAGGAUGGUCUGGAUGUCUUGACCUCGUGAUCCACCCGCCUCGGCCUCCCGCAGUGCUGGGAUUACAGGCGUGAGCCAUUGCGCCGGGCCUGACAUGAUUGUAUAUAUAGAAGACCCCAUCGUCUCAGCCCAAAAUCUUCUCAAACUGAUAAGCAACUUCAGCAAAGUCUCAGGAUACAAAAUCAAUGUGCAGAAAUCACAAGCAUUCCUAUAUACCAAUAACAGACAGAGAGCCAAAUCAAAAGCGAACUAUCAUUCACAAUUGCUACAAAGAGAAUAAAAUACCUAGAAAUACAACUAACAAAAGAUGUAAAGGAGAACUACAAACCACUGCUUAAUGAAAUAAGAGAGGACACAAACAGAUGGAAAAACAUUCCAUGCUCAUGGUUAGGAAGAAUUAAUAUCAUGAAAAUGCCCAUACUGCCCACAGUAAUCUAUAGAUUCAAUGCUAUCCCCAUCAAGCUACCAAUGACCUACUUCGCAGAACUGGAGAAAACCACUUUAAACUUCAUAUGGAAUCACAAGAGAGCCUGCAUAGCCAAGACAAUCCUAAGCAAAAAGACCAAAGCCAGAGGCAUCAUACUGCCGGACUUCAAAAUAUACUACAAGGCUACAGUAAUCAAAACAGAAUGGUACUGGUACCAAAACAGAGACAUAGACCAAUGGAACAGAACAGAGGCCCCAGAAGAAACACCACACAUCUACAACCAUCUGUUUAUUGAUAGACCCAGCAAAAACAAGCAAUGGGGAAAGGACUCCAUGUUUAUUUUUUAUUUUUAUUUUUUUUUGAGACGGAGUUUCGCUCAUUACCCAGGCUGGAGUGAAUGGCGCAAUCUCAGCUCACCGCAACCUCCGCCUCCUGGGUUCAGGCAAUUCUCCUGCCUCAGCCUCCUGAGUAGCUGGGACUACAGGCACGCGCUACCAUGCCCAGCUAAUUUUUUUAUUUUUAUUUUUAGUAGAGAUGGGGUUUUACUAUGUUGACCAGAAUGGUCUCGAUCUCUUGACCUCAUGAUCCACCCGCCUCAGCCUCCCAAAGUGCUGGAAUUACAGGCGUGAGCCACCACGCCCGGCCCUAUUUUUUAAUUUUUAUUUUCGUUUUUUGAAACGGAGUUUUCGCUCUUGAUACCCAGGCUGGAGUGCAAUGGAGCAAUCUUGGCUCACUGCAACCUCCACCUCCUGGGUUCAGGCAAUUCUCCUGCCUCAGCCUCCUGAGUAGCUGGAAAUACAGGCACGUGCCACUGUGCCCAGCUAAUUUUUUGUAUUUUUAGUAGAGACGGGGUUUCACCAUGUUGACCAGGAUGGUCUCCAUCUCUUGACCUCGUGAUCCACCGCCUUGGCCUCCCAAAGUGUUGGGAUUACAGGCUUGAGCCACCGCACCCGGCUGGACUCCUUGUUUAAUAAAUGGUGUUGGGAAAACUGGCUAGCAAUGGGCAGAAAGCAGAAACUGGACCCCUACCUGUCACCUUACACUAAAAUUAACUCCAGAUGGAUUAGAGAUUUAAACAUAAAACCUAACACCAUAAAAACACUAGAAGAAAACGUAGGCAAAACUAUCCAGGACAUAGGCAUAGGCAAGGACUUCAUGCCUAAAACACCAAAAGCAAUGGCAAUAAAAGCCAAGAUAGACAAAUGGGAUCUAACUAAAAUUCAGAGCUUCUGUACAGCAAAAGAAACCAUCAUUAGAGUGAAUUUGCAAUCUACCCGUCAGACAAAGGGCUAAUAACCAGAAUCUACAAAGAACUAAAACAGAUACACAAGAAAAAAAACAAACAAGCCCAUUCAAAAGUGGACGAAGGAUAAAAACAGACACUGUUCUUUUUUUUUAAAAUUAUUUUAUUUUAUUUUUUUUGAGAUGGGGUUUCACCAUGUUGGUCAGGCUGGUCUUGAACUCCUGACUUUGUGAUCCACCCUCCAUGGCCUCCCGAAGUGCUGGGAUUAUAGGUGUGAGCCACCAUGACCGGCCAACAGACACUUUUCAAAAGAAGACAUAUAUGAGGCUAACAAACAUAUGAAAAAAUGCUCAUCAUCACUUGUCAAUAGAGAAAUGCAAAUCAGGCCGGGUGCAGUGGCUCGAGCCUGUAAUCCCAGCACUUUGGGAGGCCAAGGCAGGUGGAUCACCAGGUCAAGCAAUCGAGACCAUCUUGGCCAACAUGGUGAAACCCCGUCUCUACUAAAAAUACAAAAAUUAGCUGGGUGUGGUGGCGUGCACCUGUAGUCCCAGCUACUCAGGAGGCUGAGGCAGGAGAAUUGCUUGAACCCAGGAGGCGGAGGUUGCAGUGAGCCAAGAUUGUGCCACUGCACUCCAGCCUGGUGCCUGGCAACAGAGCGAGACUCUGUCUCAAAAAAAAAAAAAAAGAAAAAGAAAUGCAAAUCAAAACCACAUUGAGAUAUCAUCUCAAGCCAGUUAGAAUGGCAAUCAUUAAAAAAUCUGGAGACAACAGAUGCUGGAGAGGAUGUGGAGAAACAGGAACACUCUUACACAGGUAGGAGUGUAAAUUAGUUCAACCACUGUGGAAGACAGUGUGACGAUUUCUCAAGGAUCUAGAAAUAGAAAUUCCAUUUGAUCCAGCAAUCCCAUUACUGGGCAUAUAUCCAAAGAACUAUAAAUUGUUCUACUAUAAAGACACACGCACACGUAUGUUCAUUGCAGCCCCGUGUACAAUAGCAAAGACCUGGAACCAACCCAAAUGCCCAUCAAUGACAGACUAGACAAAGAAAAUGUGGUAUAUAUACAUUAUGGAAUACUAUGCAGCCAUAAAAAACGAUGAGUUCAUGUCCUUUGUAGGGACUUGGAUGAAUCUGGAAACCAUCAUUCUCAGCAAACUGACACAAGAACAGAAAGCCAAACACUGUAUGUUCUCACUCAUAGGUGAGUGUUGAACAAUGAGAACACGUGGACUCAGGGAGAGGAGCAUCACACACUGGGGCAGUUGUGAUGGGGAGGGAUAACCUGGGAAGAAAUGCCAGAUAUAAAGUUAAAAAAAUAAAUUUAAAAAAAUACUUAAUGUAAAAAAAAAAGAAAAAGUUGAGUUGCAGAGAAAGGGAGACGAGUGAUGGGGGGCCGAGACUCGUGGGUUCUGCUCUUCUUCUGAGGAGUUAGAUGCUUCCACCUGGGGCCAGAGGGUGGAGAACACACCUAAACAUGUGGAACCCCAAUGCCGGGCAGCUAAAUCCAUAUCCCCCCAACAUCGGGUGCCCUGGAAAUUCCAGUUCUGCCCACCCACCACCUGUCAAUCCAUCCUUUCCCCCAGGCCCCUAUCCUCCUCCCACAGGAGCUCCCCACUGCAAUCCAGUUUUCCCCCCAUGUGGGCCCCCUCCUCCUGUGUUACAGCCAGGGUAUCCAGGAUGCCAACCCUCUGGUCCCUACCCUCCUCCAUACCCACCCCCUGCCCCUGGAAUGCCUCCUGUGAAUCCCUUGGCUCCUGGCGUCGUUGGACCAACAGUGAUAGUGGACAAGAAGAUGCAGAAGAAAAUGAAGAAAGCUCAUAAAAAGAUGCACAAGCACCAUAAGCACCACAAGCAUGGCAAGCAUUCCUCCUCCUCUUCCAGCAGUGACUCUGACUGAAUACAGGCCCUGGACCCUUCCCUCAAGUCUCACCAGUUCUGCUCUCCCAUCAAGCUUCAGAUGCCAUGUUAUACUGGGGGAAAGUAGCUCUUGUGCUCCCUUCCCUCACCCCCACCUGAGCCUCACCCUGCUGUUCAGCCCUGAGUGCCUAGGAAAAAUGGGAAGAGGACUGCCAUGGCAUGGCUGUCUUCUUGCUGCUGGGAUAGAUCAUAUAGCUAAUGAGUUUAGCAGGGGAGCUAUUUUUUGAAGAUGAUGAACUAAAUGUUGAAGACAGGUUUGAGAUCUGUAAAAUGUGAUUUUUACUUCCUUUUAUAAUACUUUUGAUUGAGGGGUUUGUGGAAAUUUAAUUAUGAUGAAGAACCUCUAUCUUUUUUGUAAUGUUGGCAUACUUGGAGAAUUUAGUGGCAAAUACAUUCCCCAGCAGGCCUUUUUUUGGUUGCACUAACUGCAAGGUUGCUGGGAAGUAGAGUCCAUUUGGUUGAUGAGCCUUGACUGCUGUUUUGGAACCUCACCUCUUCUCCUUAGCCCAAUAUACUGUGUCAGGUCCUAUUCUCGUUCUCCAGCUCUCAGUCCAAAUAAAGUUAUUUCUCCUGGAAAAAAAAAA
Molecule: non-coding RNA, 4943 nt
Organism: Callithrix jacchus (white-tufted-ear marmoset)
Lineage: Eukaryota; Metazoa; Chordata; Mammalia; Primates; Cebidae
Source: RefSeq, a predicted model, not a curated record